Molecule: ribosomal RNA, 743 nt
Filed under: uncultured bacterium
Lineage: Bacteria
Description: bacterial SSU rRNA
Rfam family: Bacterial small subunit ribosomal RNA
Source: RNAcentral
AGAGUUUGAUCAUGGCUCAGAAUGAACGCUGGCGGCAGGCUUAACACAUGCAAGUCGAACGAUGUAGCAAUACAUAGUGGCGCACGGGUGAGUAACGCGUGGGAAUAUACCUUAUAGUGGGGAAUAACUUUGGGAAACUAAAGCUAAUACCGCAUACGCCCGAGAGGGGAAAGAUUUAUCGCUAUAAGAUUAGCCCGCGUGAGAUUAGGUAGUUGGUGGGGUAAUGGCCUACCAAGCCUACGAUCUCUAGCUGGUCUGAGAGGAUGAUCAGCCACACUGGAACUGAGACACGGUCCAGACUCCUACGGGAGGCAGCAGUGGGGAAUCUUAGACAAUGGGCGCAAGCCUGAUCCAGCCAUGCCGCGUGGAUGACUGAAGGCCCUAGGGUUGUAAAGUCCUUUCGACGGGGACGAUAAUGACGGUACCCGUAGAAGAAGCCCCGGCUAACUUCGUGCCAGCAGCCGCGGUAAUACGAAGGAGGCUAGCGUUGUUCGGAAUUACUGGGCGUAAAGCGCGUGUAGGCGGUUUUCCAAGUUGGGUGUGAAAGCCUUGGGCUUAACCCAAGAAAUGCACUCAGUACUGGAAGACUAGAGGACCGGAGAGGAUAGUGGAAUUCCCAGUGUAGUGGUGAAAUACGUAGAGAUUGGGAAGAACACCAGUGGCGAAGGCGGCUAUCUGGACGGUUUCUGACGCUAAGACGCGAAAGCGUGGGGAGCAAACAGGAUUAGAUACCCCGGUAGUCC